Molecule: unclassified non-coding RNA, 250 nt
Filed under: Hevea brasiliensis (rubber tree)
Lineage: Eukaryota; Viridiplantae; Streptophyta; Magnoliopsida; Malpighiales; Euphorbiaceae
Source: RNAcentral
CCUCCUCCUGCAGUUGAUUAACAAUGGUCUGCAAUUCUCUAACUUCAUCCUCCAUUUUCUUGAUAACGCUAGACCUUGUUUCUAAUGCAUCAUAGCAUCUCAAAAUUUCUGCUUCUGCUGCUUCAAUCUUCAAGUUCUUNCGACCCGUGAUUGCUCUUUCAUUUUCCUGGAAAUUCUCCUUACCUUCCUUCGAAGAAGCCCAUUUUCCAGCUUUGCGAAUUCAAGCUGUUCAAGAACUCUUAGAUACUCC